UUGCCAGUUGAUGUGCUCGCGUCGGAUUAGCUAGUUGGUAGUGUAAGGGACUACCAAGGCGACGAUCCGUAGCCGGUCUGAGAGGACGAUCGGCCACACUCGGACUGAGACACGGCCCAGACUCCUACGGGAGGCAGCAGUGGGGAAUUUUCCGCAAUGGGCGAAAGCCUGACGGAGCAAGACCGCGUGAGGGAGGAAGGCUCUUGGGUUGUAAACCUCUUUUCUCAAGGAAGAAGAAAUGACGGUACUUGAGGAAUCAGCAUCGGCUAACUCCGUGCCAGCAGCCGCGGUAAUACGGAGGAUGCAAGCGUUAUCCGGAAUGAUUGGGCGUAAACGUCCGCAGGUGGCAGUUCAAGUCUGCCGUUAAAGACUCCAGCUUAACUGGAGGAAGGCGGUGGAAACUGAACAGCUAGAGUGCGGUAGGGGCAGAGGGAAUUCCCGGUGUAGCGGUGAAAUGCGUAGAGAUCGGGAAGAACACCAGUGCGAAACGCUCUG
RNAcentral lists this ribosomal RNA (495 nucleotides) under Phormidium tergestinum NTAS 11. Its description in RNAcentral is "bacterial SSU rRNA". It matches the Rfam family "Bacterial small subunit ribosomal RNA", at positions 215 to 728 of the family's 1533-position model. Lineage: Bacteria; Bacillati; Cyanobacteriota; Cyanophyceae; Oscillatoriales; Oscillatoriaceae. The record is from RNAcentral.